GAGAUAGAGCUUCCCCUUCGGGGGCAAAGUGACAGGUGGUGCAUGGUUGUCGUCAGCUCGUGUCGUGAGAUGUUGGGUUAAGUCCCGCAACGAGCGCAACCCUUAUUGUUAGUUGCCAUCAUUUAGUUGGGCACUCUAGCGAGACUGCCGGUGACAAACCGGAGGAAGGUGGGGAUGACGUCAAAUCAUCAUGCCCCUUAUGACCUGGGCUACACACGUGCUACAAUGGGAAGUACAACGAGUUGCGAAGUCGCGAGGCUAAGCUAAUCUCUUAAAGCUUCUCUCAGUUCGGAUUGUAGGCUGCAACUCGCCUACAUGAAGCCGGAAUCGCUAGUAAUCGCGGAUCAGCACGCCGCGGUGAAUACGUUCCCGGGCCUUGUACACACCGCCCGUCACACCACGAGAGUUUGUAACACCCGAAGUCGGUGAGGUAACCUUUUUGGAGCCAGCCGCCUAAGGUGGGAUAGAUGAUUGGGGUGAAGUCGUAACAAGGUAGCCGUAUCGGAAGGUG
This 511-nucleotide ribosomal RNA is filed under the name Listeria monocytogenes. RNAcentral's name for it is "bacterial SSU rRNA". It matches the Rfam family "Bacterial small subunit ribosomal RNA", at positions 1003 to 1514 of the family's 1533-position model. The record is from RNAcentral. Lineage: Bacteria; Bacillati; Bacillota; Bacilli; Caryophanales; Listeriaceae.